This 465-nucleotide ribosomal RNA is filed under the name Nitrosospira sp. YKU25. RNAcentral's name for it is "bacterial SSU rRNA". It matches the Rfam family "Bacterial small subunit ribosomal RNA", at positions 199 to 644 of the family's 1533-position model. Lineage: Bacteria; Pseudomonadati; Pseudomonadota; Betaproteobacteria; Nitrosomonadales; Nitrosomonadaceae. The record is from RNAcentral.
GGAGAAAGCAGGGGAUCGCAAGACCUCACGUUAUAGGAGCGGCCGAUGUCCGAUUAGCUAGUUGGUGGGGUAAAGGCCUACCAAGGCGACGAUCGGUAGCUGGUCUGAGAGGAUGAUCAGCCACACUGGGACUGAGACACGGCCCAGACUCCUACGGGAGGCAGCAGUGGGGAAUUUUGGACAAUGGGCGAAAGCCUGAUCCAGCCAUGCCGCGUGCGGGAAGAAGGCCUUCGGGUUGUAAACCGCUUUAGUCCGGGAAAAAGGGGUACGAGGAUAAUACCCUCGUGCUUUGAUGGUACUGGAAGAAUAAGCACCGGCUAACUACGUGCCAGCAGCCGCGGUAAUACGUAGGGUGCGAGCGUUAAUCGGAAUUACUGGGCGUAAAGCGUGCGCAGGCGGCUUCCUAAGUCAGAUGUGAAAUCCCCGGGCUUAACCUGGGAACUGCGUUUGAAACUACAAAGCUAG